Labrus mixtus (cuckoo wrasse) is the source of this 367-nucleotide long non-coding RNA. RefSeq lists it as uncharacterized. NCBI's taxonomy places the organism in Eukaryota, Metazoa, Chordata, Actinopteri, Labriformes, Labridae. The record is from RefSeq and is a predicted model, not a curated record. The transcript has 3 exons.
AGAGAAAGGGAGACAGUUCGUUCAAAAUCAAAGUGACAGCGGUAAAAAGAGAGACGGAUAGAGACAGCAAGUGGAGGUGGAAAGUGAGAGAAGGAGAGACAGGUAGAGAAAAAUAUAUUGUUAGAGACAGGUGAGGAGAAAGAUGUUUAAACAGACGGGAGAGAGAGAGAGAGAGAGAGAGAAAGACGGGUGGUAUAACAGACAGAGACGAUAAGAGACAGACAGGUGAGAAGAAAGAGAAAAUGGGAGGGGUACAGGUAGUGAGAGAGACAGGUGGGGCAAGACAGGCAGACAGACAAAAAGGUCUUAUACCUGCCUCAGCAAGUUAGCAGCUAUUAGCAAGGCAGAAACUAACAAAUCUACAGCU